RNAcentral lists this long non-coding RNA (282 nucleotides) under Homo sapiens (human). Its description in RNAcentral is "HSALNT0391677". Lineage: Eukaryota; Metazoa; Chordata; Mammalia; Primates; Hominidae. The record is from RNAcentral.
UACAAGUUGCUGGAGGGCAGCUGGUAUUAACUCAUCACCAGGGAGAGAGCACAGACAGGCAGGGGCAUGUAGUGCUCACUGGUCCUGUUCCUUCUCAUCCUUCCAGAGUAUUUCUCCAUCUAUGGUCCUAGAGCUGUGUGGGGCACAGAAUGGGACUCACUGACAGUGCAGUGUCAUUAUGACCAAGGCUGGGAGACCUACAGCAAGUAGUGGUGCCACGGGAAGGACUGGCAGUCCUGCAAAAUCCUCAUUACAAUCACAGGAUCAGAGCAGACAGCGGAG